GUAGGUGGCAAGCGUUGUCCGGAUUUAUUGGGCGUAAAGCGAGCGCAGGCGGAAUGAUAAGUCUGAUGUGAAAGCCCACGGCUCAACCGUGGAACUGCAUCGGAAACUGUCAUUCUUGAGUGCAGAAGAGGAGAGUGGAACUCCAUGUGUAGCGGUGGAAUGCGUAGAUAUAUGGAAGAACACCAGUGGCGAAGGCGGCUCUCUGGUCUGCAACUGACGCUGAGGCUCGAAAGCAUGGGUAGCGAACAGGAUUAGAUACCCUGGUAGUCCAUGCCGUAAACGAUGAGCGCUAGGUGUUGGGGACUUUCCGGUCCUCAGUGCCGCAGCAAACGCAUUAAGCGCUCCGCCUGGGGGGUACGGCCGCAAGGCUA
This 371-nucleotide ribosomal RNA is filed under the name uncultured bacterium. Its description in RNAcentral is "bacterial SSU rRNA". It matches the Rfam family "Bacterial small subunit ribosomal RNA", at positions 527 to 896 of the family's 1533-position model. The record is from RNAcentral.